GUUUGAUCCUGGCUCAGAACGAACGCUGGCGGCAUGCCUAACACAUGCAAGUCGAACGAACCCUUCGGGGUUAGUGGCGCACGGGUGCGUAACGCGUGGGGAUCUGCCCUUUGCUUCGGAAUAACAGUUAGAAAUGACUGCUAAUACCGGAUGAUGUCGAAAGACCAAAGAUUUAUCGGCAAAGGAUGAACCCGCGUAGGAUUAGCUAGUUGGUGGGGUAAAGGCCUACCAAGGCGACGAUCCUUAGCUGGUCUGAGAGGAUGAUCAGCCACACUGGGACUGAGACACGGCCCAGACUCCUACGGAGGCAGCAGUGGGGAAUAUUGGACAAUGGGCGAAAGCCUGAUCCAGCAAUGCCGCGUGAGUGAUGAAGGCCUCGGUUGGUAAGUACGUCGUUUACCUACGGUAGUGAGUAAUAGACAGUACC
This 427-nucleotide ribosomal RNA is filed under the name uncultured bacterium. RNAcentral describes it as "bacterial SSU rRNA". It matches the Rfam family "Bacterial small subunit ribosomal RNA", at positions 11 to 479 of the family's 1533-position model. The record is from RNAcentral.